RNAcentral lists this ribosomal RNA (2759 nucleotides) under Klebsiella pneumoniae. RNAcentral's name for it is "23S ribosomal RNA". It matches the Rfam family "Bacterial large subunit ribosomal RNA". The record is from RNAcentral. Lineage: Bacteria; Pseudomonadati; Pseudomonadota; Gammaproteobacteria; Enterobacterales; Enterobacteriaceae.
ACACUAUCGUUAACUGAAUACAUAGGUUAACGAGGCGAACCGGGGGAACUGAAACAUCUAAGUACCCCGAGGAAAAGAAAUCAACCGAGAUUCCCCCAGUAGCGGCGAGCGAACGGGGAGCAGCCCAGAGUCUGAAUCAGCUUGUGUGUUAGUGGAACGGUCUGGAAAGUCCGACGGUACAGGGUGAUAGUCCCGUACACCAAAAUGCACAGGCUGUGAACUCGAAGAGUAGGGCGGGACACGUGGUAUCCUGUCUGAAUAUGGGGGGACCAUCCUCCAAGGCUAAAUACUCCUGACUGACCGAUAGUGAACCAGUACCGUGAGGGAAAGGCGAAAAGAACCCCGGCGAGGGGAGUGAAAAAGAACCUGAAACCGUGUACGUACAAGCAGUGGGAGCACCUUCGGGUGUGACUGCGUACCUUUUGUAUAAUGGGUCAGCGACUUAUAUUCUGUAGCAAGGUUAACCGUAUAGGGGAGCCGCAGGGAAACCGAGUCUUAACUGGGCGUUAAGUUGCAGGGUAUAGACCCGAAACCCGGUGAUCUAGCCAUGGGCAGGUUGAAGGUUGGGUAACACUAACUGGAGGACCGAACCGACUAAUGUUGAAAAAUUAGCGGAUGACUUGUGGCUGGGGGUGAAAGGCCAAUCAAACCGGGAGAUAGCUGGUUCUCCCCGAAAGCUAUUUAGGUAGCGCCUCGUGAACUCAUCUUCGGGGGUAGAGCACUGUUUCGGCUAGGGGGUCAUCCCGACUUACCAACCCGAUGCAAACUACGAAUACCGAAGAAUGUUAUCACGGGAGACACACGGCGGGUGCUAACGUCCGUCGUGAAGAGGGAAACAACCCAGACCGCCAGCUAAGGUCCCAAAGUCAUGGUUAAGUGGGAAACGAUGUGGGAAGGCACAGACAGCCAGGAUGUUGGCUUAGAAGCAGCCAUCAUUUAAAGAAAGCGUAAUAGCUCACUGGUCGAGUCGGCCUGCGCGGAAGAUGUAACGGGGCUAAACCAUGCACCGAAGCUGCGGCAGCGACACUAUGUGUUGUUGGGUAGGGGAGCGUUCUGUAAGCCUGCGAAGGUGUGCUGUGAGGCAUGCUGGAGGUAUCAGAAGUGCGAAUGCUGACAUAAGUAACGAUAAAGCGGGUGAAAAGCCCGCUCGCCGGAAGACCAAGGGUUCCUGUCCAACGUUAAUCGGGGCAGGGUGAGUCGACCCCUAAGGCGAGGCCGAAAGGCGUAGUCGAUGGGAAACAGGUUAAUAUUCCUGUACUUGGUGUUACUGCGAAGGGGGGACGGAGAAGGCUAUGUUAGCCGGGCGACGGUUGUCCCGGUUUAAGCAUGUAGGCUGGUUAUCCAGGCAAAUCCGGAUAAUCAAGGCUGAGGUGUGAUGACGAGGCACUACGGUGCUGAAGUAACAAAUGCCCUGCUUCCAGGAAAAGCCUCUAAGCAUCAGGUAACAUCAAAUCGUACCCCAAACCGACACAGGUGGUCAGGUAGAGAAUACCAAGGCGCUUGAGAGAACUCGGGUGAAGGAACUAGGCAAAAUGGUGCCGUAACUUCGGGAGAAGGCACGCUGGUGUGUAGGUGAAGCCCCUGCGGGUGGAGCUGAGACCAGUCGAAGAUACCAGCUGGCUGCAACUGUUUAUUAAAAACACAGCACUGUGCAAACACGAAAGUGGACGUAUACGGUGUGACGCCUGCCCGGUGCCGGAAGGUUAAUUGAUGGGGUUAUCCGUAAGGAGAAGCUCUUGAUCGAAGCCCCGGUAAACGGCGGCCGUAACUAUAACGGUCCUAAGGUAGCGAAAUUCCUUGUCGGGUAAGUUCCGACCUGCACGAAUGGCGUAAUGAUGGCCAGGCUGUCUCCACCCGAGACUCAGUGAAAUUGAACUCGCUGUGAAGAUGCAGUGUACCCGCGGCAAGACGGAAAGACCCCGUGAACCUUUACUAUAGCUUGACACUGAACAUUGAGCCUUGAUGUGUAGGAUAGGUGGGAGGCUUUGAAGCGUGGACGCCAGUCUGCGUGGAGCCAACCUUGAAAUACCACCCUUUAAUGUUUGAUGUUCUAACGUUGGCCCCUUACCGGGGUUGCGGACAGUGUCUGGUGGGUAGUUUGACUGGGGCGGUCUCCUCCCAAAGCGUAACGGAGGAGCACGAAGGUUAGCUAAUCCUGGUCGGACAUCAGGAGGUUAGUGCAAUGGCAUAAGCUAGCUUGACUGCGAGCGUGACGGCGCGAGCAGGUGCGAAAGCAGGUCAUAGUGAUCCGGUGGUUCUGAAUGGAAGGGCCAUCGCUCAACGGAUAAAAGGUACUCCGGGGAUAACAGGCUGAUACCGCCCAAGAGUUCAUAUCGACGGCGGUGUUUGGCACCUCGAUGUCGGCUCAUCACAUCCUGGGGCUGAAGUAGGUCCCAAGGGUAUGGCUGUUCGCCAUUUAAAGUGGUACGCGAGCUGGGUUUAGAACGUCGUGAGACAGUUCGGUCCCUAUCUGCCGUGGGCGCUGGAGAAUUGAGGGGGGCUGCUCCUAGUACGAGAGGACCGGAGUGGACGCAUCACUGGUGUUCGGGUUGUCAUGCCAAUGGCACUGCCCGGUAGCUAAAUGCGGAAGAGAUAAGUGCUGAAAGCAUCUAAGCACGAAACUUGCCCCGAGAUGAGUUCUCCCUGAGACUUUAAGUCUCCUGAAGGAACGUUAAAGACGAUGACGUUGAUAGGCCGGGUGUGUAAGCGCAGCGAUGCGUUGAGCUAACCGGUACUAAUGAACCGUGAGGCUUAACCUU